CAAAUAUCUGCCCUAUCAACUUCCGAUGGUAGGAUAGUGGCCUACCAUGGUUUUUACGGGUAACGGGGAAUAAGGGUUCGAUUCCGGAGAGGGAGCCUGAGAAACGGCUACCACAUCCAAGGAAGGCAGCAGGCGCGCAAAUUACCCAAUCCCAAUUCGGGGAGGUAGUGACAAUAAAUAACAAUAUAGGGCUCUUUUGGGUCUUAUAAUUGGAAUGAGUUACAAUUUAAAUCACUUAACGAGGAACAAUUGGAGGGCAAAGUCCUGGUGCCAGCAGCCGCGGUAAAUUCCAGCUCCCAAUAGCGUAUAUUAAAGUUGUUGCAGUUAAAAAAGCUCGUAGUUGAAAUUUUGGGCCUUGGACGGGCGGGU
This 369-nucleotide ribosomal RNA is filed under the name uncultured fungus. RNAcentral's name for it is "SSU rRNA". It matches the Rfam family "Eukaryotic small subunit ribosomal RNA", at positions 300 to 662 of the family's 1831-position model. The record is from RNAcentral. Lineage: Eukaryota; Fungi.